Molecule: ribosomal RNA, 879 nt
Filed under: uncultured bacterium
Lineage: Bacteria
Description: bacterial SSU rRNA
Rfam family: Bacterial small subunit ribosomal RNA
Source: RNAcentral
AGAGUUUGAUCCUGGCUCAGGAUGAACGCUGGCGGCGUGCCUAACACAUGCAAGUCGAGCGAUUUACUUCGGUAAAGAGCGGCGGACGGGUGAGUAACGCGUGGGUAACCUGCCCUGUACACACGGAUAACAUACCGAAAGGUAUGCUAAUACGAGAUAAUAUGCUUUUAUCGCAUGGUAGAAGUAUCAAAGCUUUUGCGGUACAGGAUGGACCCGCGUCUGAUUAGCUAGUUGGUGAGGUAACGGCUCACCAAGGCGACGAUCAGUAGCCGACCUGAGAGGGUGAUCGGCCACAUUGGAACUGAGACACGGUCCAAACUCCUACGGGAGGCAGCAGUGGGGAAUAUUGCACAAUGGGCGAAAGCCUGAUGCAGCAACGCCGCGUGAGCGAUGAAGGCCUUCGGGUCGUAAAGCUCUGUCCUCAAGGAAGAUAAUGACGGUACUUGAGGAGGAAGCCCCGGCUAACUACGUGCCAGCAGCCGCGGUAAUACGUAGGGGGCUAGCGUUAUCCGGAAUUACUGGGCGUAAAGGGUGCGUAGGUGGUUUCUUAAGUCAGAGGUGAAAGGCUACGGCUCAACCGUAGUAAGCCUUUGAAACUGGGAAACUUGAGUGCAGGAGAGGAGAGUGGAAUUCCUAGUGUAGCGGUGAAAUGCGUAGAUAUUAGGAGGAACACCAGUUGCGAAGGCGGCUCUCUGGACUGUAACUGACACUGAGGCACGAAAGCGUGGGGAGCAAACAGGAUUAGAUACCCUGGUAGUCCACGCCGUAAACGAUGAGUACUAGCUGUCGGAGGUUACCCCCUUUGGUGGCGCAGCUAACGCAUUAAGUACUCCGCCUGGGAAGUACGCUCGCAAGAGUGAAACUCAAAGGAAUUGACGG